This 113-nucleotide ribosomal RNA is filed under the name Mytilus galloprovincialis (Mediterranean mussel). Lineage: Eukaryota; Metazoa; Mollusca; Bivalvia; Mytilida; Mytilidae. The record is from RNAcentral.
GUCUACGACCAUAUCACGUUGAAAACACCGUCUCGUCCGAUCACCGAAGUUAAGCAACGUCGAGCCCGGUAGUAUUGGAUGGGUGACCGCCUGGGAAUACCGUGUUGUAGACA